This 16952-nucleotide long non-coding RNA is filed under the name Theobroma cacao (cacao). RNAcentral's name for it is "long non-coding RNA (TCAC_LNC005714)". Lineage: Eukaryota; Viridiplantae; Streptophyta; Magnoliopsida; Malvales; Malvaceae. The record is from RNAcentral.
GCCCAAUCUUUACCUUUCUCCUUUUGGCAACGUUUUGUCAGCAAUGGACAGCGGGAAAUGGACAUAGAAGAAAAGGAGACAGGGAGCCCCUCUGGUGGCAUGGAUUGGAGCUUUGGGCAGCUAUCGAGGUUCAAUUCCUGAAUAGAGGUAAGGUGUUAAAGCCCUUUGUAGUCCAGAGUUUUGAGAUUUGGAAGACUCCCAAUGCCCAGCUUGGUAAUAGUGGAUGGCAGCAGCUGCUCAUCUGGAAAGAACUCCAUAUCUCCUCCAUUCAUCAUGAAAUGUGUAAGACAGUGGAGUUUGUGCAAUCCCCAUUCCAUUCGACUAGCAAUAAGUUUAUUACAAUCAUUAAUUUCAAGAUAUUUUAAUUUGAAUGGCAAGCCCCCUUCUGGAAAUGACUCAAUCUCUGGACAAUUUGAAACACUCAAAUAGUCGAGGGAUGGGAGAAGGGAGUGCAUAUGCUCGGGGAGUGACUUUAAAUUUUUGCAAUUGUGGAGAGAAAGCGUUGUCAGGUUAGGGGCAGAUAAUCCUCUUUGGGGAAAAGAUACAAAAUUAGGACAGUCGGAUAUACAUAUAUCAUCAAGAGAUUGGAGAUGCUGCUGGUCAGGUCCCUCUAAUGCAGAUAAGAACUUGAUGUUUGUACAAUGCUUGAACAGGCAUUUAUUCAGGUUAGGAAAAGAGCCUAAUGGGAAUGAUUUUAGUGAAUCAUGGGCUCCAAUUAGCUUCAAUACUUGCAGAGAUGUGUACAAGAGGAUUCUAGAAAAAUCAAGCUCACCGCAGUUAUCAAUCUUCAAUCUCUUUAAGGAAACAGGUAGACGACCUUCAGGAAGGCACUCAAGAGAACAACUUCUAAUAGAAAGUUGUUCAAGACGAGUGCAGUGCUGCAGCAUCAUCUCCAGCAUGGAAUGUUGGACACUGCAUUCUUCAAUUUUUAAUUCUUGCAGCUCUGUUGGUAGUGCCUGCAGCUGCAUUUUAUCACAACUCACUAACUUCAGUUUACACAUGUCAGGAGCCCUCGGGAGACAACUAGCAAGCCUCUCACAAUUUUCAAUCCAAAGUUUUCUUAGAAGAGGAAGUGUUUUAGGUAGAUCUCCAGUCAGCUUUGGACAAUCUAUUAUGUAUAGUUCUUGGAGACUAGAGAAAGUUCCAUUUUCAUCUCCCAAACACAACCACUCUUGCCACUCCUGCAUCUUCUCGAACGUCAGUAUUUCAAGUGAUUCAAAGGGCUUUACACUAGAACCAUUCCCAUAGAACUCAGAAGCUACAGCAGUUACUCGAGCAAGUCUUCUGAUAUGCAGCUUCUUCAAAGAUCGAAGAUGUCCAAGAGCUGGCAAGUACAAGCAAUGCUCACAAUUGCUCAACUCCAUGCAUGCGAUUUUUGAAAAGGAAUGAUGUCCCACCCAUUCUGGAAAUUGUGCACUUCCAUAACCGAAAAUUUUGAGGUGUUCCAGAUCUGGAGAAGGCUGUAGCUGCUCAAGUACAUUUCUUUCAUGUUCUAAAUCUCUCUGAGGCACAAAGUUAGGUACAUCUGCCUUUUCAGCGCUCCAACGCAACACUAAUUUUUGCAGUUUCUUUUUACCCUUCAAAUCGGCCUUCAAAGCAUCUCCAGAAAAACCAACAUUCUGUAAAUUCGAAAUGGAAAGAGUUCCACGAAGAUGUUGGAGCUCCCCUAACUCGCUGAUGCUGGACCCACUGUGUUUGCCUACAACAAAUGUAGUUAACUUGUGCAAAUCUUUUAGAUCACCCAUAUGUGCUGGCAUCUCUUUCAACUUCGUGCCUCUAAGAUCAAGAUGUUGCAAAUUGGUUAACCUUCCCAAUUUGGUAGGCAACUCAACAAGGUCGUGGCAAUAGGAUAGUAAUAGAAUUUGCAAAUGAAACAGAGCACUCACCGAUUCAGGCAAUAUUUUGAUACGAUUAAAAGAGAGAUUAAGAUAACGUAAUAACUUCAAAUUGCCAAACGAAUUCGGCAACACAUCGAAAUUUUGAUACUGAGAUAAAGAGAGCACUUUUAAGCACCCUAACUUGGGCAGCAGAUCCUGUGUUACAAUGUCACUAACACUUCUCCGGAGCACCCAAUCAUACUUAUUAUAUUUGUCUAGAGGCAAAAAAGUUCGCAAAUACUUGGCUUCAUUCAAGGCUUCAAAUUUUUUAGAUGUAUCACAAUGUGUAAGCAGAUAAGAGAAAUGACGAGUCCUUUUAUUAAUUUCACAAGAGCCAUCAUCCUCAAACCUUGCGAAAAAUUUCCCCGAUACAAACUUAGCCAAAUCAUUUAUUAGGUCAUGCAUAACAAACCACGUUCUCGAAGAACCACUUGAUCGCUGAAAAAACGACCUUGAUGCAAGCUCGUCAAAGUAGUCAUCGCCUACUUCUUCCAACAUCGUGCCUUUUCCUUUGGCGUGGUCUAAUAAGCCUUCUCCCAUCCACAAUAGAACUAAUUCUUCCUUCUUAAAUCUGUAAUCCUUGGGGAAAAGUGAACAGAAUGCAAAGCAUGGUUUUAGAUACGAAGGAAGAUAGUGAUAACUCAACCUUAGGGCUGGAAGAAUAUCACUUUCAUCAUCCGAAAACUCCCAAAUAUCACUCUUCAGUAUCUUGUCCCAUUCCCUGGCACCAACUUUCAUGCGUAACAGACCCCCAAGGGUUUUUAUGGCUAAAGGUAGGCCUUUGCACUUUUUCACAAUUUCUCUACCCAUGGCUUCUAAUUCAGGACGAAUAGUAGUAUUUCCACUGCCGCUGCACACAUGCUUGGUGAAUAAGGACCAGCAAUCUCUCUCCAAUAACUGCUUUAGAUUAUAACUUGAUGUUGUAGUUCUCAUGACAGAUGCAACACCUUCGUCACGAGUUGUCACGAUGAUCUUACUACCUUCUGCUGCAGACUUAAGAGGGCGUUUCAGUGCUUCCCAAUCAGCAUAUUUCUUGUUCCAAACAUCAUCUAGAACAAGAAGAAAUUUCCUUCCCUGAAGUCUGUCCUUUAAAUGAAUCUGGAGCAGAUUAAGGUCCUUUAUAUCACAAGUAGUAGAAGUGAGCCCUUCAAUGAUGGUUCUCGUUACCCUCUGCACAUCAAAUUCUUCUGUGACACAGACCCAUACUUUGCGCUCAAACCACUUUGUCACUGUGCUGUCAUUGUAGACAAGCUGAGCAAGAGUAGUCUUUCCAAGCCCACCCAUGCCCACAAUACUAAUCACUCCUAACUCAUGGCUGUUGAUCUUUUGAGAAUAUUUAUAAGAGAGAAUUUCAUAAAAGAGAUAAAUUGAAAACAAGAAAUGAUUAAUAAUUUCACUGCUGCAGUAAGUGUAUUUAUACACAAAUAUUGAGAGGAUAAAAGCAAGAAACAGUUACUCUAAAAAUAGGGGAUCAAAGACAGCACAACUUAUAACUGCUGUCUUUUAACGGCUCACAACAUGUGGCCUUUAUUUCUAAAAAAAAACUGCUUAACUGCUUAAGGAUAAAAUUCUAAGUCAUGUGUUUUGACAUAUGGACAUCCUUAUCUUUGAAGUGUUGAUGUCAUGCUCUGCAACCGAGACUUUAAAUUCCAUUACACCUCCUUGAAGUCGACGUUGCCCAUUCCCAGUUUGCUUCUAAGCAACUCAAAUUUUUCUCUGCAUAAUCCCUUAGUAAAAAUAUCUGCUAUUUGAUCAUCAGUACCACAGUAAUUUACAACAACUUCAUUGUUCGUCACAGCUUUUCGUAUUACAUGAAACUUUAUCCUGAUGUGUUUGGUUCUACUGUGAUUAAUUGGAUUUUUAGCCAGAGCAAUAGCAGACUGAUUGUCUAACCAGAGAACAGUUGGAUUUAUUUGUUCAAACUUCAAAUCCAAAAGUACCUUUCUAAGCCACAGAGCUUGAUUUGUUGCAGACGCAGCAGCCACAUACUCUGCUUCAGCAGAGGAUUGAGCAACAAUGUCUUGUUUCUUUGAGUUCCAACUGAACAUAGCACUUCCAAAAGAAAAACAAUAUCCACUGGUGCUUUUUGAAUCAUCAUAACUCCCAGCCCAAUCACUAUCACUAUACCCUUCCAAUUCUUUAUUUUCAACUUGUCCAUACAAAAGACCAUAAUUUAGAGUCCCUUUCACAUACCUCAAAACUCGUUUUGCAGCAGUUAAAUGAGUCUUUGUAGGUGAUUGCAUAAAUCGAGAAAGCAGACUAGUGGUAUACAUUAUAUCUGGCCUUGAUGCUGAGAGAUAUAGCAAGCAACCAAUUAAUUUCCUAUACUGAGUAACAUCAACCAAGGUACUUCCAUCAUCUUUACACAGUUUGGUUCCAGUAGUAAGUGGUGUAGACACAGGCUUACAACCUUCCAUCUUAAAUCUUUUUAACAGCUCUCCUGCAUAUUUUUUUUUGAUGCAAGCAGAUAAAGUCUGACCUUUGCUGAAUUUCCAAACCAAGGAAAUAACUCAUUUCACCCAAGUCACUCAUAUCAAACUCAGAUUUCAUUUUAUUUCUGAAGCUGUUCAAAUCAGAUUUAUUUGGUCCAGUUAUAAGUAAAUCAUCUACAUAAACUGAGACAAUAAGUUGGAUUUUACCCAACGAACUCUUCACGUAUAAGGUGGGUUCACUUUCACUGCGAAAGAAUUUGUUACUCCUCAGAUAAGCAUCAAUUUUUUUAUACCAAGCUCUUGGUGCCUGCUUUAAACCGUAAAGAGCCUUGAUCAAUUUACAGACUUUGUCUUCUUUGCCUUUCUCAACAAAUCCUUCAGGCUGCUCGACAUAAAUAUCUUCACUUAUAGUCCCAUUUAAAAACGCAGAUUUAACAUCCAUGUGCCAAAUCCUCCAUUUUUCCCUUCCUGCAAGUGCUACAAGAAGUCUAAUGGUGUCAUGCCUUGCCACUGGAGCAAAAGUCUCAAAAAAAUCCACACCAUGGACUUGAGAAAAACCUCUCACCACCAACCUGGCUUUCAAUUUAUUUAUUGAGCCAUCAGAGUUUAGCUUGGUUCUGAAAAUCCACUUUACACUGAUAACUCUUUGAUGUUUUGGUCUAUCAACCAAAAUCCAAGUUUGGUUUCUUUUAAUCAUUGUCAUUUCAGCCUCCAUAGCAAGUUUCCAUUGUUUAUCAGAUGCAGCUUCAAUAUAGGAACAUGGAUCAGUUAUAGCAACGUUACAUUGCUCAUAAAUAUCUUGUAAAGAUCGAAUUCCUCUUACUGGUAUGUCAUCGAUAUUAUCAUCUAACUCAUGUCCUGCUUCUUCUUCAAAAACAUCCAGGUUUACCGCAACAUUAUCAUUGUUAUUUUCUGCAAUUUCAUUCUUCAUCCAAUUCCAGUGAAUGUCUUCAUUGAACACUACAUCUCGACUUAUGAAAACUUUCUUUGUUUCAACAUUAAACAAUCGAUAUCCUUUUGAAACACUGCUAUAACCCAAGUUGAUUGAGAUUUGGGUUUUUGAGUCCAGUUUGGUUCUUUUCUGCUGGGGAACUUGGGCAUAUGCAAUGCAGCCAAAUACUUUCACAUUUGAAAUAGAUGGUUUAUAUCCAUGCCAAACUUCAAAUGGUGUCAUUGAAUUUAAAGCUGUAGUGGGUAUUAAAUUUUGCAAAGUCACAGCAAAAUUUGCAGCCUCUGCCCAAAAGUAUUUUGGCAUUUGUUGCUCAAAUAAUAGACAUCUGAUCAUCUCCAUAAUAGUACGAUUCUUCGUCUCGCUCACACCGUUUUGCUGAGGACUGUAGGGUACUGUAAGAAAUUGCUUGAUUCCUUCUUGAGUUAACAGGGCUUUAAACUCAUUUGAAGUGUAUUCUGAGCCAUUAUCUGAUCUUAAGGCUUUAAUUUUCUGAUCAGUUUGCUUCUCCACAAGAACUUUGAACUUCAUAAAGUAUUGAAUGGCUUCUGACUUUUGCUUAAGAAAAAAUAUCCAGCAAAACCUACUGAAAUCAUCAAUAAACAAAAUGAAAUAUUUGUUUCCAUUGAGUGAUAAAGUGCCAAUAGGACCACAAAUAUCAGUAUGUAUGAGUUGCAACCGAUUUGUGGCUCGUGUUUGACUUUGUUUAGGAAAAGGAUGCCUGCUUUUCUUGCCCUGUAGACAAACUUCACAUGUUUUCUCAACUUCAGUAAUUACUGGCAUAUCAUUGACAAGAUUCAAAGAUCCCAUGUUCUUUAUCGACUGAUAGUCGAUGUGGCCUAAUCUUUUGUGCCACANUCAUCUUUACACAGUUUGGUUCCAGUAGUAAGUGGUGUAGACACAGGCUUACAACCUUCCAUCUUAAAUCUUUUUAACAGCUCUCCUGCAUAUUUUUUUUUGAUGCAAGCAGAUAAAGUCUGACCUUUGCUGAAUUUCCAAACCAAGGAAAUAACUCAUCUCACCCAAUUCACUCAUAUCAAACUCGGAUUUCAUUUUAUUUCUGAAGCUGUUCAAAUCAGAUUUAUUUGGUCCAGUUAUAAGUAAAUCAUCUACAUAAACUGAGACAAUAAGUUGGAUUUUACCCAACGAACUCUUCACGUAUAAGGUGGGUUCACUUUCACUGCAAAAGAAUUUGUUACUCCUCAGAUAAGCAUCAAUUUUUUUAUACCAAGCUCUUGGUGCCUGCUUUAAACCGUAAAGAGCCUUGAUCAAUUUACAGACUUUGUCUUCUUUGCCUUUCUCAACAAAUCCUUCAGGCUGCUCGACAUAAAUAUCUUCACUUAUAGUCCCAUUUAGAAACGCAGAUUUAACAUCCAUUUGCCAAAUCCUCCAUUUUUCCCUUCCUGCAAGUGCUACAAGAAGUCUAAUGGUGUCAUGCCUUGCCACUGGAGCAAAAGUCUCAAAAAAAUCCACACCAUGGACUUGAGAAAAACCUCUCACCACCAACCUGGCUUUCAAUUUAUUUAUUGAGCCAUCAGAGUUUAGCUUGGUUCUGAAAAUCCACUUUACACUGAUAACUCUUUGAUGUUUUGGUCUAUCAACCAAAAUCCAGGUUUGGUUUCUUUUAAUCAUUGCCAUUUCAGCCUCCAUAAUAAGUUUCCACUGUUUAUCAGAUGUAGUUUCAGUAUAGGAACUUGGAUCAGUUAUAGCAACGUUACAUUGCUCAUAAAUAUCUUGUAAAGAUCGAAUUCCUCUUACUGGUAUGUCAUCGAUAUUAUCAUCUAACUCAUGUCCUGCUUCUUCUUCAAAAACAUCCAGGUUUACCGCAACAUUAUCAUUGUUAUUUUCUGCAAUUUCAUUCUUCAUCCAAUUCCAGUGAAUGUCUUCAUUGAACACUACAUCUCGACUUAUGAAAACUUUCUUUGUUUCAACAUUAAACAAUCGAUAUCCUUUUGAAACACUGCUAUAACCCAAGUUGAUUGAGAUUUGGGUUUUUGAGUCCAGUUUGGUUCUUUUCUGCUGGGGAACUUGGGCAUAUGCAAUGCAGCCAAAUACUUUCACAUUUGAAAUAGAUGGUUUAUAUCCAUGCCAAACUUCAAAUGGUGUCAUUGAAUUUAAAGUUGUAGUGGGUAUUAAAUUUUGCAAAGUCACAGCAAAAUUUGCAGCCUCUACCUAAAAGUAUUUUGGCAUUUGUUGCUCAAAUAAUAGGCAUCUGAUCAUCUCCAUAAUAGUACGAUUCUACAUCUCGCUUACACCGUUUUGCUGAGGACUGUAGGGUACUGUAAGAAAUUGCUUGAUUCCUUCUUGAGUUAACAGGGCUUUAAACUCAUUUGAAGUGUAUUCUGAGCCAUUAUCUGAUCUUAAGGCUUUAAUUUUCUGAUCAGUUUGCUUCUCCACAAGAACUUUGAACUUCAUAAAGUAUUGAAUGGCUUCUGACUUUUGCUUAAGAAAAAAUAUCCAGCAAAACCUACUGAAAUCAUCAAUAAACAAAAUGAAAUAUUUGUUUCCAUUGAGUGAUAAAGUGCCAAUAGGACCACAAAUAUCAGUAUGUAUGAGUUGCAACCGAUUUGUGGCUCGUGUUUGACUUUGUUUAGGAAAAGGAUGCCUGCUUUUCUUGCCCUGUAGACAAACUUCACAUGUUUUCUCAACUUCAGUAAUUAUUGGCAUAUCAUUGACAAGAUUCAAAGAUCCCAUGUUCUUUAUGAACUGAUAGUUGAUGUGGCCUAAUCUUCUGUGCCACAACCUAGCUUCAUUUGAAACACAUUUAUAAGCCAUAUGACCUGCUUCAUUCAAAUCUAAUGGGAAACAUUUGUUUCUCGUUUUUACAGUUGCUAUUUCUCUACCAGAUGGGUCAAAAAUCGUGCACAGUUCAUCUUUGAACAAAAGUGAAUUUUUUUCUUUCACUAACUGCCCUACACUUAGAAGGUUUUGAGUAACUUCAGGUGCAAAGCAAACAUUUGCAAUGGUUUUCAUACCUUUCUUAGUAGUGAUACCAACAGUGCCACGACCUUCAAUUUUUAGCAAAUUUCCAUCUCCAAUUUCCACAGUUGACUUGUAGGCUUUAUUUAGAUCAAGAAAAUUCUUAAUCUUACCUGUAAUAUGCGUGGAGCAGGCACUAUCAAUCAACCAAAUACUGUCUUUUUUUGAGUCAUUUGAUUCAAUAACCAUAAAUAGUGUUUCUUCAGCAUCUUCCUUUUGUUCCACAAUUGCAGCUUUUUCUUCAACCCAAUUUUCUUUGUUUUUGCAAACUUUUUCAACAUGUCCCUUUUGAUUGCAAGCUCUACAUUUUACAUGAGGCCUAUACCAACAAUAUCUCUCAAUGUGAUUCUUCUUUUUGCAAUAGGAACAUGGUGGAAAUUGCCCUUUCUUUCUUUGUUUCUUUUCUUCAUACCUCUUAUCUUUGUCUUUCUUCUCAUGUUCAGACUUCUUGUGACUUCCACUACUGGUUCGUUUGUCAACUCUUCUUGCAGCCAAGGCUGCUUCAACAUGGUCUUCUUGCCUUAAUGCUCUGCGUUGCUCUUGAGCUUGUAAAGCAUUUAUUAAUUCUGAUACUGACAUAGUUGUCAGGUCCUUAGAAUCCUCUAGAGAGGAAAUUUUUGAUUCGAAUUUUUCAGGCAAACUUACCAAAAAUUUAUUGACAACUCUUCUUUCUGUUAUAUUUUCACCAAAUAGUCUUAAUUGAUUUACAACUCUUAAAACUUUAUCAGAAUAAUCCUUCAUCGUUUCUUCAUCUUUCAUUUUUAGCACUUCAAAUUCUCUCAACAAAUUUAAAAUCUGUAUUUGCCUUGUACGAUCACUACCAUGAAACUCUUCCUUUAUCUUGUCCCAAGCUUCCUUUGCAGAUUCACAUGCCAUGAUCCUUACAAAGAUUGCAUCCGUGACAGCAGAGUGGAUGCAAGACAAAGCUUUAAAUCGUUUUGCUACUUCUUCAUUGUAUUGCUUCAUUUGAGCAAUUGUUGGGUUGGCUUGUCGGGCAGGAGGAUCUCCUCCUACUUCCACAAAUUCCCACAAGUCGAAGGCCUUUAGAUAUGCCUUCAUUUUUACAGCUCACAUGGGAUAAUUGUUGCCAUUGAAAACUGGAGGAGCAGCAAUGCUGUAAUUGGAGGAAGCCAUUUAUUUUUGAAGUCUGACAGAAAGAACAGAUAAAGAAAAAAAAUUUUGUAAAAGAUAAAUGUUUUGAAACUAUUUUGCCAAGGUCCCCUAAGAUCACUCAAAAACGCUCUGAUACCAUGUUGAUCUUUUGAGAAUAUUUAUAAGAGAGAAUUUCAUAAAAGAGAUAAAUUGAAAACAAGGAAUGAUUAAUAAUUUUACUGCUGCAGUAAGUGUAUUUAUACACAAAUAUUGAGAGGAUAAGAGCAAGAAACAGUUACUCUAAAAAUAGGGGAUCAAAGACAGCACAACUUAUAACUGCUGUCUUUUAACGGCUCACAACAUGUGGCCUUUAUUUCAAAAAAAACUGCUUAACUGCUUUAGGAUAAAAUUUUAAGUCAUGUGUUUUGACAUACGGACAUCCUUAUCUUUGAAGUGUUGAUGUCAUGCUCUGCAACCGAGACUUUAAAUUCCAUUAAUGGCAACUUGCAUCAUCUGAAAGCAGCAUCUUAAUUAAAGCCUCUCUGUCAUCAUUCCUGCCAUACACUUCAGAUGCAUAUACCAAAGAGGUUGUUGGUAAUUUUGGUGGCUUUUUUUCCCUGACAUCAUUUCGUAGGCCGAGGAUAUUAAUUUGUUUUCCAAUGUGUUCUAGUCUUUUGAAGAUCUCUUCCAACUUUGGGUUCAUCCUCUCAGGAAAAGAGAAAACGUUUGGUACCCGAGACGCCCAGGUGGUUUGAGGCUCUUCUUUCAGCUUGCGCAAAAAAGUGAGCGAUGCAAUCUCCUCCAGUAUGUCUUCUGCAUCAUAGACAGCAUCUUUAAGCUCAUCGAGCCAGUUUUUCACAGCCUGAUUUUUCAUCUGCUUUUCCUCUGCGUCAUUCAGUACUGCCUCAAGGGACAACAGGGUUAUCUGUAGUUUCUUCAGCAUUUCAUCAUUGACACUGCCGCUAAAGAAGUUCAAUACCUCAGGAGAUGCCAUUCUAUCAAACAACGCGCCGAAUAAGCUAGACAGAAAUGCUCCUCCUACCAAUUCUGCAGCCAUAGUUUCUCCUUUGGGAUGGAAGUGAUUGUGAUGAGAAGGUGAAAGCAACUGCAAUCGAUGGGGAAGAAAGGGGAAAACUUAUGAUCAGGUUCUGUUGCUCAAAGUCCCUGGUAUGUUGUGGAAGGAUACACAAACUUCAACUGAUUUUUCCAAAUUGAAAGCUACAAAAUUAUUUCCAACAAGAUUAGAGAUUGGGUAUUAUUCGCAAGGAGUGGGCCACAGAACUUUAUUUGCUUUCGGUGCAAAUUCAUUUGUUUGUCUUCAACGUUGGGCGGUACUGAAGGUUCUGAGUGAUAAAGUGAAUAACUGAGUGAGGAAAGAAAAUUGCUUGCAGACUAUCUUUUCCAUGUGGCGAUACAAAGAUUCCUUCUGCGAAAUUUCGUGGAAUUUUCUUUUGACUUGCUUAUCUAACAAGUUGUGUGGAAUUUGCUUUUGCUUUACUUUUGGAUAUGAAAACUACAUGGGUCAGUCGGCGUGUACCGCACCGUAAGAUGGAGGAUUUUACACCCAAAGCUCUGCUUCCAUAGGUGCAUCCCCUUAAUUUGCCAAGCCAAAACGGCCCCUCCCCUUUAAUCAAAUCAUGUACAGUCUUCUUCUCUAUUAAUAACAGCCAUUUUGCAUCCAUGAAGUUCCAACAAUUAAAUACAAGUGCAUGUCAUAAACACUAGCAUGCUGCUAAAGUUCAAAUAAGAAGCUCAAAAUCAAAUGCCUUUUCCUUAUUCAGAUGGAUUUCUGUGACUUUAAAUAGGCACAAAAUAAUCACUGUUUUGAGAGAUGUACUCUUCAUUUUUAUAAGAUAAGAUAAUUUCAUGAGAUAUACAAACAUACCCACAUGCAAAAAAUUCGAUGAAGUUUAGACUAAAAAUAAUAUUUCAAUGUAAUUAAAUCUAAUAGCCUUGCUUUUGUAAUGUUGGGAAUAUCAUUAGCUUUGAUCCUUAAAAUCUUAAUUUUAAAUUUCGAAGUAGGUUCCUUUAAUUAUAAACACAUUUCACUGCAUCCAAAUAAAAAUUAACCCACUUUAUUAGACUUCAAUGCUUUUUUCAUUAUUAAAAAGGCCCGGUAAUAAAAAUGACCUCAAGACAAAUAAGUACAUGAUGAGAGGAUUAGUCUUCCUUAUUAAAAGAAAAGAAAAGUUGAACAUGGAAUAGUUUUUGGUGUUAGGUUUGCUCUUCAAAUAAUGGUGGUUCAGAGCCCAGAAAUGACAAGAAAAUGAGAACAUGGAGCUCUCAUCUUUUCCAACAGACGAGACAUUUAAUAUUCAUUCCAAGGAGUGGACCACAGAACUUUUUGUGUGCAAAUACAUCUGUCUGUCUUCAAUGAGGAGCUCUAUUGGAAGUUUCUGAGUGGAUGGUCUAUGAAUGGACACAGAAGGACGACCAACUCUAAUGGGGUUCGGUGAGGAAAUUGCUUUCCGGUUCAGUGCAAUUUGCUUUUGGUUGUCUUGUCAAUUUCACUAGAGUGGUCCCUCGCUUCGCGUGGGUGUAUUUUUAAUAAAACAAUAAUUUUAAAUUACAUAAUAUCAUAAAUAAAAAUAAUAAUAGCGAAAAGAGAGUAAUUUUAAUUUAGAAAAAUUAUAAAUAAUAAUAAAUUAAAGAUAAUUAUUUUAAAAUAUUGAUAUUUUAAAAAUAUUUUCUUAUAUCUUAUCAAGUAAAUUUUUUUAUUUAAAUAAUUUUUAAUUUUUAAAAACAUUUGAUUUUUUAUACUUUAAUAUAUGUUAAUAGUAAUAUAAUCAUAUUUUGUUAAUUACGAUGAUUAUAAUAGAGAAAUUAAAUUAAAAUUAAGAAAAUUAAUAUAUUGAAAGUCAUUAUUCAUAAACUACAUAAUUUAUAUAAGUAGCCAAAUAAAAAAAACUACAUAAUUUAUAUAAUAAAAUUAUUAAAAUAAAAUGAAUAUUUUUUGGAAAGUCAAAAUAAAAUGAAUAUUAAUUACGCAUAUUAAAAUUUUCUUAAUUUUAAUGAUGAAAUUUUGUAAAUUAUCUUCAAUUUUAAUUACUACGUUUUUAUCUUAUACCUUUAUAAUUAUUUAGAAUUAAUCCACUAAAAAUAAUUUUGCAAUCCCCCAAUAAUUUUAGUAAGUCAUUAUUAACUUUAUUUAAUUAAUUAUUUUAUUUUUUAUUACUUAUCCAAAAAAUAGUUUCAUUGUUUUAUUCUUAUCUCUUUUUUAAAUUAAUUUUAUAAAUUUAAUUNNNNNNNNNNNNNNNNNNNNNNNNNNNNNNNNNNNNNNNNNNNNNNNNNNNNNNNNNNNNNNNNNNNNNNNNNNNNNNNNNNNNNNNNNNNNNNNNNNNNNNNNNNNNNNNNNNNNNNNNNNNNNNNNNNNNNNNNNNNNNNNNNNNNNNNNNNNNNNNNNNNNNNNNNNNNNNNNNNNNNNNNNNNNNNNNNNNNNNNNNNNNNNNNNNNNNNNNNNNNNNNNNNNNNNNNNNNNNNNNNNNNNNNNNNNNNNNNNNNNNNNNNNNNNNNNNNNNNNNNNNNNNNNNNNNNNNNNNNNNNNNNNNNNNNNNNNNNNNNNNNNNNNNNNNNNNNNNNNNNNNNNNNNNNNNNNNNNNNNNNNNNNNNNNNNNNNNNNNNNNNNNNNNNNNNNNNNNNNNNNNNNNNNNNNNNNNNNNNNNNNNNNNNNNNNNNNNNNNNNNNNNNNNNNNNNNNNNNNNNNNNNNNNNNNNNNNNNNNNNNNNNNNNNNNNNNNNNNNNNNNNNNNNNNNNNNNNNNNNNNNNNNNNNNNNNNNNNNNNNNNNNNNNNNNNNNNNNNNNNNNNNNNNNNNNNNNNNNNNNNNNNNNNNNNNNNNNNNNNNNNNNNNNNNNNNNNNNNNNNNNAUUACAUUAUACUUUUUAUAAAAUAAAAAAUUUUAUUAAAAUAAUUAUUUAAAAUUAUUUAUAUAAGGUUAAAAUAGUUUUUAAUUAUUAAUUUUUAAGAGGUUAAUAAAUGUAUCACGUAUACACGUUUAAACAUGAUAACACGAUUAAACACGAAAACACGAUUAAGUAAACGUGUUUAAACGUGUUUGUCAUGUCUGACACAUUAAGACAUGAAAAUUUCGUGUCUUAACAUGUCAGAUACGAUUAGACACGAAACACGUUAAGGCUAAAUCCAAAACCUGUUUAACUCGUAUCUUCUCGUGUGGUGUUAACGUGUCGUGUACAAAAUUACCAAAUCUAGUGAUCUGCUAUAUACCAAAAUGCUCCAUCUUUUCAUCUAGAUUUAAACUUAAGUAUAAGCAAUUUCUUUCUUUCUUUUUUUAUAUCUAAUAUAGAAUAUAAUUAUUCUAUUUUUAUAAUUAACUAUAUUUAAUUUUACAAAAACGAAAAGAAUGACAAGAGAGAGGCUUUCUUUAAAAUUAUAACAAUAAAUAAAAAAGAGAGUGGUGUGAAUAAAAAUACAUGAGACUUUAGAGUUCAAUCUCUUUCGAUCCCCAUUGGUCAGCGAGCUUAACAUGAUUCUUCUCCUUUUAAACCAUUUCAAUUGUAAGUCCAUAUUCACUUAUCAUGAACUCUUACUCACCGAAUCCCCACUCUCUUAUGAUGACGUGGUCAAAUCUAAAAGCAGCUUUAAGUCUUCUUUUUAUAUAUGUUAUAGAUUACUUAUGCGAAAUUCCCUGGAAUUUGCUUUUGGUUUUCUCAUCUAGCAAUUGUGUGGAAUUUGCUCUUUCUUGACCCUUGGAUGUGGAAGAUUAAUAAUAAAAAAAGACUACUUGAGUCGCUAGUCGUGUGUGGUACCGUAAGAGAGAAUAUACGAGCAUGGAAAUUACACCCAAAGCCCUGCUUUCCAUAGCUAUAUCCCCUUCAUUUCCCAAGCCAAAACAGCCCCUCCCUGUUUAAGUUUUUAAAGUGAAUGAAUUUAGAGAGAGAAAGCUUGUGAAAACGAUGAACCAGCUGAGAGAGAAAGAGCAUUUGCUUGGUAUCUCCCUUAUGAAAGGCAUAACCCGAGUACAUGAGAGAGACAAAGAUUCAUCAACAUUAAAAAAACAAAACAGCCAAUGACAGAAGCGGACACGGCGACGCGCACCACACCACAACACGUGGAUAGUAGACAAAAGCCACAAAAUGGUAACGCAGCAAAUGUUAAAAGGAAUAAAGCAUGAUAGCUAAACGGUGCCGCAUUAAUCUCCCCUAAAAUGGAUCACGUGGAACUGCACACCUGACUUCUUCUCCUUCACCAAUUCGAACCCUAUUUUGGCGCGAACCUCCAUAGCUAUCAGAGGGCGCAAACGCUGUUGUUAAGACACAACUCAAUUUCAACACUCCCCUUUAAUCAAAUCACGACCAAUCUUCUUCUCUUUUAAUAACAACCAUUUUACGUUCAUGAUGUUGCAACUUUUGUGCCCAAAUGGUUGAAAUGCUAUCAUGGCUGAUUCAAACACCAUGUCACACAAUAAUGCCAAAGAACAAACCAAAAAUCACUGUUUUCAGAGACAUACUCUUCCUUUUUUAUAAGAUAACUAAUUUCACUGUUCUAAUCAAUAUUAACUUCGAGUUUCUUAAUUAUUAAUCUUUAGCCAGUAUUCAGAGACAUACCUUUAGCCAGUUUCUAAGGUAAUGUUGGCACUACCAUCAGUUUUGAUCCUUAAAAUCUGGAUUUUAAACUUCAAAGUAGGAUCCCUUAAUUAUAAACACAUUUCACUGCAUUCAAAUAGAUAUCCACGUUAUUAAACUUCAAUGAUUUUGUUUGUUUGUCCGUGAAACAAAGCCAGACAAAGAUAAAAGUAGCCCAAGUUGUAACUUUGAGGCUUUAACAUUGACGGUAGAUACAAGUUUUACUCGUGAAGCAAACCCCAUAAACUGGAGCUCCAUAUUUCCCAGUUCUCCCAAAAUGCUGAAUGCAAAGAUUAUUGCAUUCAUCUUGUGUGCAGCCUGGAUUUGGAAAUGACUGCUCACACUCUCAGCUCUGUCCCAUCAUCAGCUGAUUGCCUGUAAUCAUAAAACACACGUCUGAUUAAUGAUUAAUCUGCACACCAUUCAAAGGCUCAUUUCUUUACAGUUCUAUCCUACUUUUGUUUUUUAAUGCUAAAGGGCUGCAUAGAUUUAGUGAAUAAUGGAAACCUUACCAAAAGAAAGUAACAGAAGCAGUAAAACGGCGGAGAAGGAGAAGGAGAAGCUCCUCAUGGCUUCAAUUUGUUUUGUCUGUGGCAGUGCGUUGGUUCAAGACUACAGGGACCGUAUGGUUUCUGCUAUUUAAAAGAAGUUGAGAAUGUAAGAUUCAUUGCUUGGAAUUCUAAGUUCUUGUUGCUUUUGACAUAAAAGGGAAGAUAUAUGCUGGAUCAAGGUUGUUUUCUUCGAUUAUAUCCAACAAAUAUAGUUGUAAAAUUCAUCAUACAUGGAAGUUGAAUUAUAGUGAUUACUCGUAUAUGGUCAGACACCUGAAUUUCCAACUAGAAAAAUAGUAAAAACUUGUGUUGAGCCUAAGACAGUAAAUUACAAAGAUUCACAAUGACAUAACAACUAAAGCAAAAAAAAACAAUGUCCAAUGAUCACAAAGUAAAUUUGGGUCUUAUGUUUCUUAUAACAGAUAUGGUAGAAUGCAUCACCAAAUGCAAAAAUGCCUCUGAUAGAAGAUAUGAACUCACUUGAACUGCCAUCAGCAGCUCUCAAAUUAAAAACAAAUGUUCAUAGACCUGGAAGCUCUCAAAUUGCAUGCCAAGAUGGAUUUUGAAAAAAUAAUAAAUGAAUGAGCAAAGGAAUAGAACUUCCAAACAAUGAUUUGGAAGUUCAACUUCAUGCCAGAAAAACAGAGCCAAAUGCAAUUGUACUAAACAAAUACAACUUCAGCAGCCUCACACUUUCCUGGUCUUUUUAACCUUUUCUUGUUUUCUUUCUUCUAAAUAAAAGAAAAAAAAAAAGAAAUACAGAAAAACCUAUUAAGAUUAGGGCAUUCUUUAUGGAAAGAUAAAAAUAUAAAAACAUACUGAUUAAGUUAAAGCUGUUACUGAUAGACUAGCCAAUUAAGGAAUAUCACACAAUAAAAGUUCAAAAUGAUGCAUGCAGUAAAUUAGGAGAAAGAAGAAAAAAGAAUUAAGCAAUUGAGCUAUUACACUAAAAAGAAAUGCGAAAAUAAACUCCACUGAAAGGCCUCAAUAAUGUUCAUGAAAGAACUUUUAAAACAAAAAAUAUAUAGUAAAUAAAGAUAUACAUUAUAGACAAAACUCAAAAGUAUACGAAAUGAAACGAAUGAUUAACAAAUGUUAUUAUGUAGAGUGCAGAUGGGAUACCUGAGCCAAAUGAAUUCUCUGAGACAUUGAGUUUAGGCGAUGAUGACUUGACCAUCAAUUGUUAUCGAUGGGAUGUGGGAAAUCUUGGCCCAAUCUUUACCCUUCUCCUUUUGGCAACGUUUUGUCAGCAAUGGACAGUCGGAAAUGGAUAUAGAAGAAAGGGAGACAGGGAGCCCCUCUGGUGGCAUGGAUUGGAGCUUUGGGCAAAAAUUGAUGUCCAAUUCCUGAAUAGAGGUAAGGUGUUGAAGCCCUUUGUAGUCCAAAGUCUUGAGAUUUGGAAGCCACGAAAUGUGAAGAUUGGUAAUAGUGGAUGGCAGCAGCUGCUCAUCCGGAAAGAACUCCAUAUCUCCUCCACUCAUUUUGAAAUAUG